This 188-nucleotide non-coding RNA is filed under the name Bacillus licheniformis. The record is from RNAcentral. Lineage: Bacteria; Bacillati; Bacillota; Bacilli; Caryophanales; Bacillaceae. RNAcentral also lists the same sequence under 1 other name.
UUUCAUCGCCGGGAACAUGGUAAUCUAACGAGGUUAGAUUUUAAAAGGGAAGUUUGGUGAAAAUCCAACGCGGUCCCGCCACUGUGAAUGAGGAGGUUAUUUCAUAAAACCCACUGUUUCUAUAUGGGAAGGGGGAAAUAACCGUCGAUUCAUGAGCCAGGAGACCUGCCUGUUCUGACGCACCAUAA